GGACGAUGCUGUGUGGUCCGAGCAGCAGUAAAGAUUUUGUGCAAUAUACGAAAGUAAGACACAGAGAGGGCACCUUUUCUAGUCCGUCAAAUUAAGUGCCAGCAGACGCGGUGAAACUUAAGGGCUAGUCUUAUAGGCAAAAGCGUAAAGGGUGUGAUAGGCCGCCUUAUUUAAGAGAGUAAAUGGAAUUUUUCUGUAAUGGUGGUAUAUGUAAAUAGGAAAAAGAACUUUAGACGUGAAGACUAUUUACUUCUAAGAUUAUAAUGUGUUGGCUAAAACACGAGAGUGUGGGGAGCAAACAGGAUUAGGUACCCUGGUAGUCCAUACUGUAAAUAAUGAAAAAGAUGUGAAGCAAUUCUAAAAGGUAAGAACUUUUCCGCUUGAGUAGUACGAUCGCAAGAUUAAAAUUCAAAAAACUUGGCUGUUCACUGUUUUGAUUAGAGGAGCGUGUCGUUUAAUUCGAUAGUCCGCGAGAGACCUUACCCAAACUUGAAUCCCUCAUUGACAGGUAUUGCAUGGCCGUCGUCAAUUUGUGUAUUAAACAUAAAACAAAUUCAACCCAGUGGUUUGUCUAUUGGAUGAAGUCAGGUCUUAUUGUCCUAAUGUUUGGGGAUUAGAUGCGCUACAUUUUUUUAUACAAUGGGAAACUUUGAAUGUGAAACCCAAAAAUAAGAGUUCGGAAGGUGUCUGGAAUAUAACGGAAAGUUGGAUUUAAUAGUAAUUGAAAAGUAGAGCGUUUCAAUGAAAUUUAUUCAGUGUUAGUACAAAUUGCCCGUCGCCUUUGCUUAGAAAGGUUGUUUGGUUGCCCCUCAAGAGGGUUCCUAAUAUCUUCGAGGUAGAGUAAGUCGUACUUAGAAGGGGGGGGAGCAGGCCGACAAAAAAA
This 883-nucleotide ribosomal RNA is filed under the name Porites nigrescens. Its description in RNAcentral is "partial small subunit ribosomal RNA". It matches the Rfam family "Bacterial small subunit ribosomal RNA", at positions 324 to 1533 of the family's 1533-position model. The record is from RNAcentral. Lineage: Eukaryota; Metazoa; Cnidaria; Anthozoa; Scleractinia; Poritidae.